Molecule: long non-coding RNA, 632 nt
Filed under: Spirodela polyrhiza (greater duckweed)
Lineage: Eukaryota; Viridiplantae; Streptophyta; Magnoliopsida; Alismatales; Araceae
Description: long non-coding RNA (SPOL_LNC000174)
Source: RNAcentral
GUCUCUUCGAUCUUGCCCUUGACGGCGCCGGCGCGGGAGUGGAACCCCGCGCUCCCUGCCAGCGCCACUCCGGAGGAAGCUCUGAGCAGCAAAAAAAGUGCACCGGCGAGAGCUUCAGGGGGACUUCCAUGGCGGGCAACCAGCCGCAGGUGAACAACGGUUUCUUCUUACAUUAGUAGAAGAGUGAGAAGGACCGGGAGCAUGAGCAGCCAGAGGCAGCGCUUGCUCUCGCAGGGGCGACGGCGGUUUCCGGGCUUCUCGCCGUUGCGGAUGAAGCAGCCGCAGAGGAGGACGGCGCCGUAGACCAGGCCGGCCAGGAGCCAGAUAACCGCCAUGCUGUAGCCAUAGACGCCGGUGAAGACGGCGGACUUGAAGAAGGAGAAGAAGAGGAAGCGUCAGAGGAGAAAGCGUUGCGGACCCAUCUACCAAAAGUUGAAGAUGGAGAGGGGAGACGGCGAUGCGAUGGCUUACACUCCAGUAAUGCAGGUCGGUGAUGUUGUACCCUCCUCUGUAUUUCCUGAACCCGUCCAAGGGAUCGAUUCUCGAGGGCCGGAGCUCGCCGUCCGCUGCUGCCGAAGAUCAGACAGAUUACACAGGUUAUGCCUCUCUCUCUCUCUCUCUCUCUCUCUCUA